UACAGAGGAUGCAAGCGUUAUCCGGAAUGAUUGGGCGUAAAGCGUCCGCAGGUGGCAGUUCAAGUCUGCUGUCAAAGACCGGGGCUUAACUUCGGAAAGGCAGUGGAAACUGAACAGCUAGAGUAUGGUAGGGGCAGAGGGAAUUCCUGGUGUAGCGGUGAAAUGCGUAGAUAUCGUAAGGAAGACCAGUGGCGAAGGCGGGUCUCUGGACAGUUCCUGACGCUGAGGCACGAAGGCCAGGGGAGCAAACGGG
This 253-nucleotide ribosomal RNA is filed under the name uncultured bacterium. RNAcentral's name for it is "partial 16S ribosomal RNA". It matches the Rfam family "Bacterial small subunit ribosomal RNA", at positions 524 to 776 of the family's 1533-position model. The record is from RNAcentral.